AAAGUUAGUUAAGCCUAUAAUAUAAGAUUGUCAAUCUUAUGUCACUGAUCACACAGUACUUUUUA
This 65-nucleotide transfer RNA is filed under the name Cymbium olla (pot-bellied volute). RNAcentral describes it as "tRNA-Asp". The record is from RNAcentral. Lineage: Eukaryota; Metazoa; Mollusca; Gastropoda; Neogastropoda; Volutidae.